GACGAACGCUGGCGGCGUGCUUAACACAUGCAAGUCGAACGGUGAAGCGCCUUCCUUUUUGGUGGGUGUGGAUGAGUGGCGAACGGGUGAGUAACACGUGAGUAACCUGCCCCCUUCUUCUGGAUAACCGCAUGAAAGUGUGGCUAAUACGGGAUAUUCUGGGUCUGUCGCAUGAUGGGUCUGGGAAAGAUAUUGUUUCGGUGGGGGAUGGGCUCGCGGCCUAUCAGCUUGUUGGUGGGGUGAUGGCCUACCAAGGCGGUGACGGGUAGCCGGCCUGAGAGGGUGGACGGUCAUACUGGGACUGAGACACGGCCCAGACUCCUACGGGAGGCAGCAGUGGGGAAUAUUGCACAAUGGGCGCAAGCCUGAUGCAGCGACGCCGCGUGAGGGAUGGAGGCCUUCGGGUUGUGAACCUCUUUCGCCAGUGAAGCAGGCCUGCCUCGUUUGUGGGUGGGUUGACGGUAGCUGGAUAAGAAGCGCCGGCUAACUACGU
This 493-nucleotide ribosomal RNA is filed under the name uncultured bacterium. RNAcentral describes it as "partial 16S ribosomal RNA". It matches the Rfam family "Bacterial small subunit ribosomal RNA", at positions 28 to 506 of the family's 1533-position model. The record is from RNAcentral.